AAUCAAACUGGGAGAUAGCUCGUUCUCUCCGAAAUAACUUUAGGGUUAGCCUCAGGUGGCAAGCAUUGGGGGUAGAGCUACUGGAUGAUUUUGGGGGUCUACCCGACUACCCUGGUCAACCAAACUCCGAAUACCGAUGCCCAAGGCCUGGGAGAUAGACGGUGAGCGAUAAUGUCCAUCGUCAAAAGGAGAAAAAUCCUGAUCGCCAGCUAAGGUCCCAAAUCCUGGCUAAGUUCGAAAGGAAGUUGGAUUGCUAUGACAUCCGGGAUGUUGGCUUAGAAGCAGCCACCAUUUAAAGAGUGCGUAACAGCUCACCGGACGAGGAAUCCAGCGCCGAUAAUUAUCGGGAAUAAGCCAGGAGCCGAAGCUGCGGGCUUCGAAAGAAGCGGUAGGAGAGCGUUGCUGCCAGCGGAGAAGGCGUCCCGGAAGGGUCGUUGGAGCGGCAGCAAGUGAAUAUGCGGGCUUGAGUAACGAUUAAACGGGUGAGAAUCCCGUUCGCCGUAUGCCUAAGGGUUCCUGGGGAAGGUAAAUCCGCCCAGGGUUAGCCGGGUCCUAAGGCGAGGCCGAAAGGCGUAGUCGAUGGAUAUGGGGUUAAUAGUCCCCAGCACACGCAGAGAUCAAACCACACUUCGGAUUGCCGAGCUCGGAGGGGCUGUCAGAUGCCCAGGCCCUAGAGGCCGAUACCGGGGGAGGCGGUUCCUAGAAAAGGUGUGGGGGCAAAGCGUGUCCCGUACCAAAACUGACACAGGUAGGCGAGGCGAAUAGCCUCAGGCGCUCGAGAGAACCCUACGUGAAGGAACUCGGCAAAUUGACCCCGUAAGUUAGCGAUAAGGGGUGCCCUCGCAAGAGGGUCACAGGAAAACGACAGCUGCGACUGUUUACUAAAAACACAGGUCUCUGCGAAGUCGUCAAAGGCGACGUAUAGAGACUGACGCUUGCCCGCUGUUGGAACGUUAAGGUGACUGGUUAGCCGCAAGGCGAGGCUGGGAGCCGAAGCGCCAAUGAAGGGCGGCCGUAACUAUGACGGUCCUAAGGUAGCGAAAUUCCUUGUCGGGUAAGUUCCGACCCGCACGAAUAGCGUAACGACAGCUGUACUGUCUCCACGAGGGACUCGGCGAAAUUGUAGCUGUGGUGAAGAUGCCACAUGCCCGCACCAAGACGGAAAGACCCCGUGAACCUUUACUGUAACCUAAUACUGGCUCUAGGUUCGCCAUGUGUAGCAUAGGUGGGAGACGUUGAUGUCGGGGGCGCCAGCCUCCGAAUAGUCGUCAGUGAAAUACCACUCUUGGCGUACUUGGAGUCUAACCUGCGACCGUUAUCCGGCGUGGGAACAGUGUUAGGCGGGCAGUUUGACUGGGGCGGUCUCCUCCUAAAAGGUAACGGAGGAGUUCAAAGGUACCCUCAAUGCGGUUGGCAAUCGCAUGUAGAGCGUAAAAGUAUAAGGGUGCUUGACUGCGAGACACAUAGGUCGAGCAGGUACGAAAGUAGGAUUUAGUGAUCCGGUGGUCCCGUGUGGAAGGGCCAUCGCUCAUCAGAUAAAAGGUACUCCGGGGAUAACAGGCUGAUCACGCCCAAGAGUCCAUAUCGACGGCGUGGUUUGGCACCUCGAUGUCGGCUCA
This 1619-nucleotide ribosomal RNA is filed under the name bioreactor sludge metagenome. RNAcentral's name for it is "bacterial LSU rRNA". It matches the Rfam family "Bacterial large subunit ribosomal RNA", at positions 831 to 2539 of the family's 2925-position model. The record is from RNAcentral.